This 468-nucleotide ribosomal RNA is filed under the name uncultured bacterium. Its description in RNAcentral is "partial 16S ribosomal RNA". It matches the Rfam family "Bacterial small subunit ribosomal RNA", at positions 28 to 507 of the family's 1533-position model. The record is from RNAcentral.
GACGAACGCUGGCGGCGUGCUUAACACAUGCAAGUCGAACGGAAAGGCCCUGCUUUUGUGGGGUGCUCGAGUGGCGAACGGGUGAGUAACACGUGAGUAACCUGCCCUUGACUUUGGGAUAACUUCAGGAAACUGGGGCUAAUACCGGAUAGGAGCUCCUGCUGCAUGGUGGGGGUUGGAAAGUUUCGGCGGUUGGGGACGGACUCGCGGCUUAUCAGCUUGUUGGUGGGGUAGUGGCUUACCAAGGCUUUGACGGGUAGCCGGCCUGAGAGGGUGACCGGCCACAUUGGGACUGCGAUACGGCCCAGACUCCUACGGGAGGCAGCAGUGGGGAAUAUUGCGCAAUGGGCGGAAGCCUGAUGCAGCAACGCCGCGUGCGGGAUGACGGCCUUCGGGUUGUAAACCGCUUUCGCCUGUGACGAAGCGUGAGUGACGGUAAUGGGUAAAGAAGCACCGGCUAACUACGUG